AGGACGAACGCUGGCGGCGUGCUUAACACAUGCAAGUCGAGCGGAAAGGCCCUUCGGGGUACUCGAGCGGCGAACGGGUGAGUAACACGUGAGUAAUCUGCCCCUAGCUCUGGGAUAGCUCCGGGAAACCGGGAUUAAUACCGGAUACGACCACCUUAGACAUCUUUUGUGGUGGAAAGAAUUUCGGCUAGGGAUGAGCUCGCGGCCUAUCAGCUUGUUGGUGGGGUAACGGCCUACCAAGGCGACGACGGGUAGCCGGCCUGAGAGGGCGACCGGCCACACUGGGACUGAGACACGGCCCAGACUCCUACGGGAGGCAGCAGUGGGGAUAUUGCGCAAUGGGCGAAAGCCUGACGCAGCGACGCCGCGUGGGGAUGAAGGCCUUCGGGUUGUAAACCCCUUUCAGCAGGGACGAAGCGAAAGUGACGGUACCUGCAGAAGAAGCGCCGGCUAACUACGCGCCAGCAGCCGC
RNAcentral lists this ribosomal RNA (472 nucleotides) under uncultured bacterium. Its description in RNAcentral is "SSU rRNA". It matches the Rfam family "Bacterial small subunit ribosomal RNA", at positions 26 to 518 of the family's 1533-position model. The record is from RNAcentral.